CUGCCUCUCUACCCCACCCCACCCCACCACACCAAAGUAGGAAUCUGUGGGAAUGACAAGAGACCCAGGGCCUGUUAGGUUUUGAUGAGGGACAAAUGGGAAACUGUAAAUAUGAGCUACAAUGUGUGAGGCACCAUGCUAGAUGAUGGGAUGAAUAAAUAAUUAAAGUAAAUAAUCCUGCUUUAAUUUGAACUGAGUGUUAGCUUCUUCCCCUCCCCACUUCCUUUUUGUUUGGAAGUCUGGGCUUAGAUUAAAGCAACCAGAAAGUAAGUAGACUGGAAGCAGUCUUAAAAGAGGGCCAGAACCACGCCCUGCAUGCUGCCUUUGGCAAGGCUCGAGUCCCUCCACCGCCUGGUAAGCCCGAUGCAGGAGAGAAUCCAAAAGAGAUUGUCACAUGGCUUCAUUUGAGGGGGAUGCCAAACAUGGAUCAGGGGUGUAAACUUAGGAGGCUGGCUCUCUCCAAGAGGAGAUCCUUAGGGCAGUAUCUCCCAGACUUGUCAUUCCCUGAUAGCUGAUAACAGAUGAAAAUGAGGCCAUUGGCCCUGAAGUUACCUCUGGUGCUUGGGAACAGGAAGAAGAGAUGAGAUUCCCCCCUCAGAGAUCCGUUGUUUAGCCAGGCAGUGGCAGCAUAACAAAAGGGACAGUGCUCUGUCUGCUUAGCAUGCCUGGGAUAACUAACUGCUGACUCCAUGAGGCCUGACCAGAGGGACUUUGCUAACUGUGCAGAGGCAGCCUGGAUGUAUCACAGCAAGUAUGAAGUCUAGACGUGAACAGUAUCCUGCCUGGAACCUGGAUCCAGUGUUCAUUUUACAAGAAACUCCACUUCAGCACACCUGGGUCAUGGAGACCAGCUAAGGAUAAGAGACCAGACCCUCUCCCGCCCCCCUGCAUCCAUCAAGCCUUUGCAAGUGCUCACGAGGACACUGAGGCCGAGAGAAGCCCAGUGACUAAUUGCAAGCCCAUGACCGUGAGGUGGCAGCCUAAAGCCCAGCCAGGGCUUUCCGCCUCUGACAGCGCUGCUCAUUCAGGAAGCCGUGAAUUUUAGUUUUCUCCCCCAGUGCUUCUCUACCAGUAACCACUCUUCACUCCAGCCAUGGGGACAUUCGACAAGGCUGGAGACAUUUCAGUUGCUGCGCUAGGGGAUGCCAGUCGGGCAUCUAAAGGGUGAUGAGGCCCCCGCCAACCAUCCCACAACACCCGCAGCAGCCCCCACGGCCAAGCUGUCAAGCCCAAAGUAUCAGAGCACCCCUGUUGAGAAACCGUAGAGAAAGAUUCUCUGAUCUCUCACCAACUCGCUGGCAGCCACACCAGACAAAGUGUAUGUGGGCGAUUCAUGACGAGGGAAGGCUCAGUAGUGGCUGCGAACAUGCACCAAUUCCUGGACUGUUAAACAUGAGUUCUCGGCGGAUGGGCGAGGGGCUCUAGUGAGUGAGCCCCCUUCCCCGACCACCAUCUUCUGAAGUCCAUUAAGAGGCUAGCCACUCGUGGUGUUGCUCUCGAGUUAGAGGCCGAGGGGGUUCCAUGGGCCCCGGGUCCUCCUAGAGCUUACUGAUUGAGAUGGAGAGCAAGGGCAGGCCAGCCAGGGAAAGACGAGACGGACAAAUAACAAAACUGAAAUGCAGGCCACGCCGAUUGCACAAGCCAAGCCGGAGGCUGAGUCCAUUGCUGAGAAACGCGGAGGGGAGGACUUACUCACAGUAAGGCCAUACCUAUGCUUACUAGGACUCACGGACCGUGGGAAGCCCUGCGGAGCUUCCUGGCGAACCGAUCAACGUCGGUGCUGCUGGUGGUUAUAACUCACAGGCUACCAGGUGUUGCUUCCUUUCCCGUGCCUCUGCCUCACUCAGAAACAGCAACUCAGAAACCUACCCAGACGACAAGUCACAUGCUUUGAAGAGAAAGUGGCGGAAUUGAUUACAUCUUAGAUGUACAAGUACAUCUUGAUUGUUCCGGAUAAUAAAGGAUACAUGAGACAUGAAUAGAAAAACCACCAACGGUGAGUAAAAUAAGAAAACCAGGGAUCACUUUUUUUUCCCCCUGUUUAUUAACAUUCACACCAAACUGUAUACUUUGGUUACCAUGGUCGUGUGGUAUCUGAUGUCACAAGCCACAGCAUAUAAAAUCGCAGAGGCCACGACAGGCAGGAAGAGAGGCCUGGCCUUGUUGUCUGAGUAAUACAAACAGCCCAGUGUGCUGGAUGUGAGCCUGGAUACUGCCGCCUGCUGAGCCCAGCUCUGGAGCCCACGGGCCACCACCGCACUUCUUCCCCUGCCUCUGCCUGCCCCCUAGUGGACAAGCUUGGGAAAGCGCGGGAUUCAGCCCGGGAGCGGGGGGUGGGGGAGCAGCUUUGUGGGGACUGAAAUAUGGCUCCCUGAGAGCGUGCCUCCCCCAACCCUCCUCCCAAGCGCUGUCUGUGGAUUUCCUGGAGAAUCAGAGCUCGGCCUGGAUGCCCUGGGGUCUCCCUGGGAUGGACACGUCCACUUCCUGUGUCAUUUUCCUGGGGCCUUUGUCUAUCUCUGCCCGCCCCGAUCCCUAACUUGCAGUCGUCUUCCCUUGUGCAGUCUCCACAGGAGACUAAUGAUUCCUUCUUUGGGUCCAGCCAACUGUAGAGAACCAACAGGGUGCUGUACUAUCAAACAUGUUCCCCCUAUGGGAGCCUCUUGUGCCUCCUGUAUGUCCAGAGAGGCAUUCAUUUAUUUGUCAGAAACCUGCUAGAUGCCCAGCCCUGGAGACAUGGAAGAAACUAGGCCAAGGUUCCCACCUGGAAGAGCUCACAGCCCAGGGAAGGGACAGCUCAUCCAUCGAUGGCCACGUGAUCAGGUCUGUACCACCAGGAAGGUGUAAGCGCUGUGCCGUGGGAGCAAAGGUGGUAGCGGAAGAGGCAUUUGAAUUUGUCACGGGUGCUCGCCACAGCAGGGUUAGUCCAGCAACUGCUUUGUUCAAAUGACUCAGGAAAAUAAAUGAGGCUGGCACAGACCGUCCUGAUACCACACACCUCUAGAGUACCCUGGCUACGCUGGGUAUUCUCACCUCGG
Long non-coding RNA from Mirounga angustirostris (Northern elephant seal), 3035 nucleotides. RefSeq lists it as uncharacterized. NCBI's taxonomy places the organism in Eukaryota, Metazoa, Chordata, Mammalia, Carnivora, Phocidae. The record is from RefSeq and is a predicted model, not a curated record. The transcript has 7 exons.